This 499-nucleotide ribosomal RNA is filed under the name uncultured bacterium. RNAcentral describes it as "partial 16S ribosomal RNA". It matches the Rfam family "Bacterial small subunit ribosomal RNA", at positions 30 to 523 of the family's 1533-position model. The record is from RNAcentral.
AUUGAACGCUGGCGGAAUGCUUUACACAUGCAAGUCGAACGGCAGCACGGACUUCGGUCUGGUGGCGAGUGGCGAACGGGUGAGUAAUGUAUCGGAACGUGCCCAGUCGAGGGGAUAACGUAGUGAAAAUUACGCUAAUACCGCAUACGAUCUAUGGAUGAAAGCGGGGGAUCGCAAGACCUCGCGCGAUUGGAGCGGCCGAUAUCAGAUUAGGUAGUUGGCGGGGUAAAGGCCCACCAAGCCAACGAUCUGUAGCUGGUCUGAGAGGACGACCAGCCACACUGGAACUGAGACACGGUCCAGACUCCUACGGGAGGCAGCAGUGGGGAAUUUUGGACAAUGGGCGAAAGCCUGAUCCAGCCAUUCCGCGUGCAGGAUGAAGGCCCUCGGGUUGUAAACUGCUUUUGCACAGAACGAAAAGGUUUCUACUAAUACUAGGAGCUCAUGACGGUACUGUAAGAAUAAGCACCGGCUAACUACGUGCCAGCCGCCGCCGUAA